Molecule: ribosomal RNA, 473 nt
Filed under: uncultured bacterium
Lineage: Bacteria
Description: SSU rRNA
Rfam family: Bacterial small subunit ribosomal RNA
Source: RNAcentral
AGGACGAACGCUGGCGGCGUGCUUAACACAUGCAAGUCGAGCGGAAAGGCCCUUCGGGGUACUCGAGCGGCGAACGGGUGAGUAACGCGUGAGUAAUCUGCCCCUAGCUCUGGGAUAGCUCCGGGAAACCGGGAUUAAUACCGGAUACGACCACCUUAGACAUCUUUUGUGGUGGAAAGAAUUUCGGCUAGGGAUGAGCUCGCGGCCUAUCAGCUUGUUGGUGGGGUAACGCCUACCAAGGCGACGACGGGUAGCCGGCCUGAGAGGGCGACCGGCCACACUGGGACUGAGACACGGCCCAGACUCCUACGGGAGGCAGCAGUGGGGAAUAUUGCGCAAUGGGCGAAAGCCUGACGCAGCGACGCCGCGUGGGGGAUGAAGGCCUUCGGGUUGUAAACCCCUUUCAGCAGGGACGAAGCGAAAGUGACGGUACCUGCAGAAGAAGCGCCGGCUAACUACGCGCCAGCAGCCGC